GCACAGGGCAUACAAUGUGGAU
Molecule: microRNA, 22 nt
Filed under: Gallus gallus (chicken)
Lineage: Eukaryota; Metazoa; Chordata; Aves; Galliformes; Phasianidae
Description: microRNA Ros-gga
Source: RNAcentral